GCGGCGUGCUUAACACAUGCAAGUCGAGCGAUCCUUUUUCCUUCGGGAAAUGGAUUAGCGGCGGACGGGUGAGUAACACGUGGGUAACCUGCCUCAUAGAGUGGAAUAGCCUUCCGAAAGGAAGAUUAAUACCGCAUAAUGUUGAAAGAUGGCAUCAUCAUUUAACCAAAGGAGCAAUCCGCUAUGAGAUGGACCCGCGGCGCAUUAGCUAGUUGGUGGGGUAACGGCCUACCAAGGCGACGAUGCGUAGCCGACCUGAGAGGGUGAUCGGCCACAUUGGGACUGAGACACGGCCCAGACUCCUACGGGAGGCAGCAGUGGGGAAUAUUGCACAAUGGGGGGAACCCUGAUGCAGCAACGCCGCGUGAGUGAUGAAGGUUUUCGGAUCGUAAAGCUCUGUCUUUGGGGAAGAUAAUGACGGUACCCAAGGAGGAAGCCACGGCUAACUACGUGCCAGCAGCCGCGGUAAUACGUAGGUGGCGAGCGUUAUCCGGAUUUACUGGGCGUAAAGGGAGCGUAGGCGGAUGAUUAAGUGGGAUGUGAAAUACCCGGGCUCAACUUGGGUGCUGCAUUCCAAACUGGUUAUCUAGAGUGCAGGAGAGGAGAGUGGAAUUCCUAGUGUAGCGGUGAAAUGCGUAGA
RNAcentral lists this ribosomal RNA (640 nucleotides) under uncultured bacterium. RNAcentral describes it as "bacterial SSU rRNA". It matches the Rfam family "Bacterial small subunit ribosomal RNA", at positions 39 to 694 of the family's 1533-position model. The record is from RNAcentral.